GCGACUCCAACACAAUGUCUUGUGAAGCCAACCUAUUCUCUAACGGCUAGCUGCUGCUACUCUCGCCAAGGCUGGAACCAGAACCUUCGUCUCUUCCUUGGUGCUAUAUCUAAGUUAGCUGCUAAUGGGAUAGUCAUAUACGGACCGGAUACGAUGGACUGGAUUUCAACUGGGUGGACAGAACGGACAUGACUCGGAGACAUGGUGGCAGAAAAAAAA
Sorghum bicolor (sorghum) is the source of this 219-nucleotide long non-coding RNA. RefSeq lists it as uncharacterized. The transcript has 2 exons. The record is from RefSeq and is a predicted model, not a curated record. NCBI's taxonomy places the organism in Eukaryota, Viridiplantae, Streptophyta, Magnoliopsida, Poales, Poaceae.